RNAcentral lists this ribosomal RNA (468 nucleotides) under uncultured bacterium. Its description in RNAcentral is "partial 16S ribosomal RNA". It matches the Rfam family "Bacterial small subunit ribosomal RNA", at positions 28 to 507 of the family's 1533-position model. The record is from RNAcentral.
GACGAGCGCUGGCGGCGUGCUUAACACAUGCAAGUCGAACGGAAAGGCCCUGCUUUUGUGGGGUGCUCGAGUGGCGAACGGGUGAGUAACACGUGAGUAACCUGCCCUUGACUUUGGGAUAACUUCAGGAAACUGGGGCUAAUACCGGAUAGGAGCUCCUGCUGCAUGGUGGGGGUUGGAAAGUUUCGGCGGUUGGGGAUGGACCCGCGGCUUAUCAGCUUGUUGGUGGGGUAGUGGCUUACCAAGGCUUUGACGGGUAGCCGGACUGAGAGGGUGACCGGCCACAUUGGGACUGAGAUACGGCCCAGACUCCUACGGGAGGCAGCAGUGGGGAAUAUUGCACAAUGGGCGGAAGCCUGAUGCAGCAACGCCGCGUGCGGGAUGACGGCCUUCGGGUUGUAAACCGCUUUCGCCUGUGACGAAGCUUGAGUGACGGUAAUGGGUAAAGAAGCACCGGCUAACUACGUG